CGGCAGCUCCUCCAUUAGAUCAGGUAGUGUAUUAUUAGGUAGGGAAUUAGCGCCCGCUACUGUCGUCAUCGCCUUCCGCCUCGAUGAAAAGCUGUAAGUAGUGUUCGAGGUGAGCGCGACAUAGCGCUGCUGAUGUCGUUUGGUUCGAAACACCUAAUAUUUAUUCGGUAACUUAACGUAAGUUUUCUCUAGAUUCCAUUUUCGUUUUCAUGAAUAUCAAUGGGAAUUUUUAGAUCAAGUUUUGUACGCAACAAGAAAGAAAACACCUAAACUUUCGGAUAAUGUCAGCUCAGCCGCUUUCUGAAGCCGUGGAAAAUCAAGCCUGUUAGCUACGAAGGGAAGAAAGUUUCAGCCGUGGUAGUCGACCCUCGGGCUGGUUGGUGUCCUUCACUCGUAAAAGUUGAUCAAGGAACAUGGUCGUCUGACGUAACAAUGUGCUAGAACAAGAGUGUUUGAACAGCUGUAUAUGUCUGAAAGUAACGAACUUCACGUGUUGAGGGGCCUACUACGCAGUGUAUAAAAACUCUUUCUAUUUUAACCAACCACAAGUGGAGUGGACGUCAUGGCGUAAUGUGGGUGGAGCUUUGUGGGAACAGCACCUAUUAUUACUGGUCCAUGUGCCGACGUUACGUGGGCCUGGUUUGGGAGCUUGAUGUCAACGUCGACGGAGGCUCCGGUUCUGGAGGAAGAGACGGCGCCACAAGCCGUCAUGUAAAUACAGGGCAGAAAAGUAAUUACAGUUUGAAGUUACUGAAACGGAGCUUUGCGUCCACGGAAGGGACAGGAGCCUUGAAUCUCUGAUACAACGGUUACUGCUGACUUCCUGCAUGGAACCUCAUGUUAGUCUUGCACAGACCAUA
Limulus polyphemus (Atlantic horseshoe crab) is the source of this 860-nucleotide long non-coding RNA. RefSeq lists it as uncharacterized. The transcript is spliced from 4 exons. The record is from RefSeq and is a predicted model, not a curated record. Lineage: Eukaryota; Metazoa; Arthropoda; Merostomata; Xiphosura; Limulidae.